GACGAACGCUGGCGGCGUGCUUAACACAUGCAAGUCGAACGGAAAGGCCCUGCUUUUGUGGGGUGCUCGAGUGGCGAACGGGUGAGUAACACGUGAGUAACCUGCCCUUGACUUUGGGAUAACUUCAGGAAACUGGGGCUAAUACCGGAUAGGAGCUCCUGCUGCAUGGUGGGGGUUGGAAAGUUUCGGCGGUUGGGGAUGGACUCGCGGCUUAUCAGCUUGUUGGUGGGGUAGUGGCUUACAAGGCUUUGACGGGUAGCCGGCCUGAGAGGGUGACCGGCCACAUUGGGACUGAGAUACGGCCCAGACUCCUACGGGAGGCAGCAGUGGGGAAUAUUGCACAAUGGGCGGAAGCCUGAUGCAGCAACGCCGCGUGCGGGAUGACGGCCUUCGGGUUGUAAACCGCUUUCGCCUGUGACGAAGCGUGAGUGACGGUAAUGGGUAAAGAAGCACCGGCUAACUACGU
This 466-nucleotide ribosomal RNA is filed under the name uncultured bacterium. RNAcentral's name for it is "partial 16S ribosomal RNA". It matches the Rfam family "Bacterial small subunit ribosomal RNA", at positions 28 to 506 of the family's 1533-position model. The record is from RNAcentral.